RNAcentral lists this ribosomal RNA (497 nucleotides) under uncultured bacterium. RNAcentral's name for it is "partial 16S ribosomal RNA". It matches the Rfam family "Bacterial small subunit ribosomal RNA", at positions 28 to 507 of the family's 1533-position model. The record is from RNAcentral.
GAUGAACGCUGGCGGCGUGCCUAAUACAUGCAAGUCGAGCGAACAGACGAGGAUCUUGCUCCUCUGACGUUAGCGGCGGACGGGUGAGUAACACGUGGAUAACCUACCUAUAAGACUGGGAUAACUUCGGGAAACCGGAGCUAAUACCGGAUAAUAUAUUGAACCGCAUGGUUCAAUAGUGAAAGACGGUUUUGCUGUCACUCAUAGAUGGAUCCGCGCCGACUUAGCUCGUUGGUAAGGUAACGGCUUACCAAGGAGACGAUGCGUAGCCGACCUGAGAGGGUGAUCGGCCACACUGGAACUGAGACACGGUCCAGACUCCUACGGGAGGCAGCAGUAGGGAAUCUUCCGCAAUGGGCGAAAGCCUGACGGAGCAACGCCGCGUGAGUGAUGAAGGUCUUCGGAUCGUAAAACUCUGUUAUUAGGGAAGAACAAAUGUGUAAGUAACUAUGCACGUCUUGACGGUACCUAAUCAGAAAGCCACGGCUAACUACGUG